This 253-nucleotide ribosomal RNA is filed under the name uncultured bacterium. RNAcentral describes it as "partial 16S ribosomal RNA". It matches the Rfam family "Bacterial small subunit ribosomal RNA", at positions 524 to 776 of the family's 1533-position model. The record is from RNAcentral.
UACGAAGGUGGCGAGCGUUGUUCGGAAUCACUGGGCCUAAAGCGCACGUAGGCGGCUUCUUAAGUUUGAUGUGAAAUCCCCCGGCCCAACCGGGGAACUGCGUCCAGUACUGCGUUGCUUGAGGAUCCAAGGGGUGCAUGGAAUUCCCGGUGGAGCGGUGAAAUGCGUUGAUAUCGGGAGGAACUCCGACGGCGAAAGCAGUGCACUGGUGGAUUACUGACGCUGAGAUGCGAAAGCCAGGGGAGCAAACGGG